Molecule: ribosomal RNA, 480 nt
Filed under: uncultured bacterium
Lineage: Bacteria
Description: bacterial SSU rRNA
Rfam family: Bacterial small subunit ribosomal RNA
Source: RNAcentral
AUUGAACGCUGGCGGCAGGCCUAACACAUGCAAGUCGAGCGAGAAAGGUCUUCGGACUGAGUACAGCGGCGGACGGGUGAGUAAAGCGUAGGAAUCUACCUGGUAGUGGGGGAUAACUUGGGGAAACUCAAACUAAUACCGCAUACGCCUACGGGGGAAAGCGGGGACCGUUCGGGCCUCGCGCUAUCAGAUGAGCCUGCGUAGGAUUAGCUAGUUGGUGAGGUAAAGGCUCACCAAGGCGACGAUCCUUAGCUGGUCUGAGAGGAUGAUCAGCCACACUGGGACUGAGACACGGCCCAGACUCCUACGGGAGGCAGCAGUGGGGAAUAUUGCGCAAUGGGCGAAAGCCUGACGCAGCCAUGCCGCGUGUGUGAAGAAGGCCUUAGGGUUGUAAAGCACUUUCAAUUGGGAAGAAAAGUUGGUCGUUAAUAGCGGCCAGCCCUGACAUUACCUUUAGAAGAAGGACCGGCUAACUCCGUG